CUUUAUUGGAGAUAGCAUUGAGUCUUGGGGUGCUUGUCACCCUUGUAACAGUUCUAUCACUAUGUGUAUGUGGAUGCAAAAACUCCAACCAGAAAGCAUCGACCCAAAACAGUCAACGCAGCCUGCCCGAAAUCCCGCAUCCUGUAGGCAGGCAUGACAGCGGGGAUACGGCAUCGGAGAUUUACGCGACCGUCAAUUUAGAUGAAGG
Long non-coding RNA from Ostrinia furnacalis (Asian corn borer), 208 nucleotides. RefSeq lists it as uncharacterized. Lineage: Eukaryota; Metazoa; Arthropoda; Insecta; Lepidoptera; Crambidae. The record is from RefSeq and is a predicted model, not a curated record. The transcript is spliced from 2 exons.